AUGACCCAGGUCCGCUUCUUUUGGGCAGGCGAGGGUGAUAAGCAGAAAUACCACAUGGUCCACUGGCGUGAGAUUUGCAAGCCGGGGGACCAAGGUGGCCUCGGCAUCAUGUCCUCCAAACGCAUGAACAUUGCCCUCUUGACUCGAUGGCUAUGGCGGAUCGCCAACGGUGAGGGCGGUCUCUGGCUGCAGAUUAUCCGAAACAAAUACCUCCGCGGACAGCCUCUCGCUUUUUGCCAGAGGACAGGUGGCUCCCAGUUCUUGCGGUCCCUCAUCCAGGUUCUCCCGGUCCUCCGGAUUGGGACCUCCAUUGACGUUGGAUCGAGAUCGUCCAUGCUUUUCUGGUUCGAUAGGUGGGCGGGUGAAUCCCCCCUUUGCGACGCACUUUCCGAGCGUGUUCGCUAUCGCAGUGGACCCUUGGGUCUCAAUGGAGUGUCUCGCGUUUCGGUGACCAUUUGGGCCCGCUGA
This 468-nucleotide ribosomal RNA is filed under the name Triticum aestivum (bread wheat). RNAcentral describes it as "partial small subunit ribosomal RNA". The record is from RNAcentral. Lineage: Eukaryota; Viridiplantae; Streptophyta; Magnoliopsida; Poales; Poaceae.